GGCAUGGUGGCUCAGUGGUUAGAGCGCCCGCCUGAUGAACGGGAGGUCGUGGGUUCGAACCCCGGCCGAGUCA
Strongylocentrotus purpuratus (purple sea urchin) is the source of this 73-nucleotide non-coding RNA. Lineage: Eukaryota; Metazoa; Echinodermata; Echinoidea; Camarodonta; Strongylocentrotidae. The record is from Rfam.